GGAAUCUCUGCAAGAGCUUUAUGACUUGUGGUUUAAGAAGACUUUGGGAACUGUCUUCACCCUUUGAGCUUUCCCUCCACUCCAAGAGUGAAGCCCAUGACUUUCAUCCACAGCAACUGCCACCCUGAACUGCUGCUGCCAGCAGAGGGUUGAACUCUGUAAGGUUGAACUGCAGGUUCCAGCUGCCCUUCCCCUGAAGACAGUCCAGGUUCCGAUGGGAGGUGAUGAUCUCUCCAACUUACCCAAAGAAACAAAAGUAUGUUGCAGCUGUCUCGGGUUAUUUAUCUGAUUUGAGAAGCUUACUUCCCUCCACUCAGAUGCCUCUAUUCUAUUACAGUGAGAUUCUUCCUUUAUAAGGAGUACAUUGGCACCUUCUCACCAAUUACACUGAAAGAGGAAGAAUAUUUGAAAUGAAAAGUGAUAAUUAUUGAACUCUACUUCUCAUGUCCUGAGCUAUGUUCAGCAUGGUCUGUUGGGUUAAAGACCACCAGUCAGGUUACACACGAAUCAGGGAUGUGGAAUCGUCAUGAGCAUGGAACCUGGUG
This 545-nucleotide long non-coding RNA is filed under the name Heterocephalus glaber (naked mole-rat). Its description in RNAcentral is "lncRNA (ENSHGLG00100047265.1)". Lineage: Eukaryota; Metazoa; Chordata; Mammalia; Rodentia; Bathyergidae. The record is from RNAcentral.